GGUCGAACCUUCCUACCAACAUUCUGUGACACGUUGUUGCUGUGUGACAGAUGGCAGCAGAGGAGCAGUCUGAAAAACGAUAUCUGACAUGGAAGUGUAUAUGAAGCGAAGGGCUGCACCACCGAGGAGAACACUCUGAGGCCAUUACAAAAAAAAAUGCAUCUAUGACAUCAUGGCAAUGCUCCACUCUGCAAAGCUGCAGAUCAAUCCCAAAAUGGUAUUACUCUAUCAGACUCAUGGAAAAUAAAAAUAUCAGGUUGAUUCAUAACCUCAGAUGUUAAAGGCUAAGAAGAAAGAGAAAACUAUAGGGUCAGCUGCAAGUAUCUGGGCUUGCUGCUGGAGAGAAAAGCAGCACAAAAAUACUGUAUGUCGAAAAAAAAAUUACUGGUGAACAUGAUCACCAGUUCAGAUCAGCUGGAUUAAGUGGUUCCUUUCCAAAAAUAAAA
This 446-nucleotide long non-coding RNA is filed under the name Gallus gallus (chicken). Lineage: Eukaryota; Metazoa; Chordata; Aves; Galliformes; Phasianidae. The record is from RNAcentral.